GAUGAACGCUGGCGGCGUGCCUAAUACAUGCAAGUCGAGCGAACAGACGAGGAGCUUGCUCCUCUGACGUUAGCGGCGGACGGGUGAGUAACACGUGGAUAACCUACCUAUAAGACUGGGAUAACUUCGGGAAACCGGAGCUAAUACCGGAUAAUAUAUUGAACCGCAUGGUUCAAUAGUGAAAGACGGUUUUGCUGUCACUUAUAGAUGGAUCCGCGCCGCAUUAGCUAGUUGGUAAGGUAACGGCUUACCAAGGCAACGACGCGUAGCCGACCUGAGAGGGGGAUCGGCCACACUGGAACUGAGACACGGUCCAGACUCCUACGGGAGGCAGCAGUAGGGAAUCUUCCGCAAUGGGCGAAAGCCUGACGGAGCAACGCCGCGUGAGUGAUGAAGGUCUUCGGAUCGUAAAACUCUGUUAUUAGGGAAGAACAAAUGUGUAAGUAACUAUGCACGUCUUGACGGUACCUAAUCAGAAAGCCACGGCUAACUACGUG
Molecule: ribosomal RNA, 497 nt
Filed under: uncultured bacterium
Lineage: Bacteria
Description: partial 16S ribosomal RNA
Rfam family: Bacterial small subunit ribosomal RNA
Source: RNAcentral